Molecule: long non-coding RNA, 977 nt
Organism: Setaria italica (foxtail millet)
Lineage: Eukaryota; Viridiplantae; Streptophyta; Magnoliopsida; Poales; Poaceae
Exons: 2
Source: RefSeq, a predicted model, not a curated record
UAUAGGCAAUUAUUCUAACAACUCUAUCCACAUGUUUUUAUCCAAGAAUCAGGGGCACCUCUGUUCAACGCAAUUCGAUCACCACUCACUUUUUACACUCUGGCCUUGCUCGCCCACACCCAGCUGUGGCAGCUAGUUUCAUCUCCACCCCACCCCACGUAGACCUCUCCGCCUCCUCGAGCUCCUGUGGACCGAGCCCCUCCGCUGGAAAAAUGCAAAGCAUAGGGGCCCUGGUCCCGCCCGCGCCCUUCCUCCGCCACUGCCUCCGACUAAGGUUGCUAGCGGCGGCGGCGCACUACUCCAUCGCAUACAAGAUGUUGGAGCUCGUCCAUGGCGGCAAGCCUCGAACAACGAGCACCAUGUGGAGCUCUCAUCUAACUCCUCGACAACUCCGCUGGAGUCGUAUCCUUGGCCAAGACCGGGGCUGUAGACGACAACAAAGCCAGGGCCAGGGCCGAACGACAACUCCAGUGCAAAUUUGAAAGCCGCCGAGAGACCAGCGGCUGCAGCUCGAUUGCAUCUUCCCGUGAAAGAAAAGCAGGUUACGAAGCUGCGCAAUAUCGUCGUGUUGCAUUAGGUACUAUGUGUUGCAGUAGAGAUUUUUUUUAUGUUGCAAAUAUUAUAGAAGUUUGUGAUUGCUGCAGAUGUAUACAAUCUCAUGAUGUUGCUUGAUGAAUUUUGAGAUGUUUAGGGUCUGUUUGGUAGAGCUCCAUCUGAUCUUGAUUCUCUAUGAGAGCUGAUUCUCUGAGAGAAGUGAUUCUGAGGCUGAGAGUGAUUCUCUUUGAUUCUAUAGCAUAAACUCUUAAAAUUAGUAUGGAGAAUCACUUCACAGAAUCAGGAGAAACUACUUUUUCAUCUCCCAGCCUCCUAGUUCAUUUCAGAGAAUCACUUCACAGAAUCAGCAGAGAAUCACUUCUUUUGUGAAAAACUGUUUGGGCAGAGCUCUUGCUAAAAUCAGCAGAGAAUCACUUCUUUUC